This 429-nucleotide ribosomal RNA is filed under the name uncultured bacterium. Its description in RNAcentral is "bacterial SSU rRNA". It matches the Rfam family "Bacterial small subunit ribosomal RNA", at positions 400 to 823 of the family's 1533-position model. The record is from RNAcentral.
GGUGAGUGAUGAAGGUCUCGGAUCGUAAACUCUGUUGUUAGGGAAGAACAAGUGCCAUAGUAACUGAUGGCACCUUGACGGUACCUAACCAGAAAGCCACGGCUAACUACGUGCCAGCAGCCGCGGUAAUACGUAGGUGGCAAGCGUUGUCCGGAAUUAUUGGGCGUAAAGCGCUCGCAGGCGGUUCUUUAAGUCUGAUGUGAAAUCUUACGGCUCAACCGUAAACGUGCAUUGGAAACUGGGGAACUUGAGUGCAGAAGAGGAGAGUGGAAUUCCACGUGUAGCGGUGAAAUGCGUAGAGAUGUGGAGGAACACCAGUGGCGAAGGCGACUCUCUGGUCUGCAACUGACGCUGAGGAGCGAAAGCGUGGGGAGCGAACAGGAUUAGAUACCCUGGUAGUCCACGCCGUAAACGAUGAGUGCUAGGUGU